GCAGCCGGGAACGUCCCAGCCCCCGGUGCCGCGCUGCCCCGGCCUCAGCCGCCGGCGGAGCCACGCGUGACCACUGCCGUCGUCGGCUUCGUCCUCUGCGCCCCUCGCGAUUUGCUGGGACGGAACCCCGAGAAUGCGCGGGGCCCGGGGAGCGGCGCCGGGGGCCUGGGCCGGGGGCGGCGGUCCCGACGGGUCGGCGUUGUCCGGCCGCUCGGAGCCCGUCAGCGGGGCUCGUCCGGCGCGGCCGCCGCGGAGUCCGGGGGCGCCCGGUUCGGCCGCUGAGCCUGCGGACCGUGUCCGCUCAGCUCGCGGUGCAGACCCGGCUUGGCGGCUGGGAGAGCCCCGCGGAGCUCGCCGCGUCUGAACCCCGAACGCGGGGUUCUCACCCUCCAAUCUGGCCUUACCCAAAUCCUGAGGGGCGCUUGCAGCCACAGCCGUUUAAAGAGCCUCAGAAUAUUCGCCUAAUUAUCUGUUUAAUUGAUGAGUUUGUAUAAAUGCGGGGAUUAGUGAAUUUGAUCACAAAGCUGUUGUCUCUAACGACCAUCACGGACGCUGCUGGAGCUUUCAAAGCUCCAGAAGGCAUGCCCUAUAUCUACAGUGUGAGCCGGGGAUUAAGUACUAGCGAGACACUGCAAGCUCAAACCGUGACAGCCAGUGCUGGUGCCAUUUCUCUGUGCAGGGGAUCCUCCUUGGGACCGAGAGUCAAGUUCCAGGGGGAUCAGCCCCUGAUGCAGCCCCCCUCCCGGCCCCACCUGCGGGCUCCCUCUGGCCAGGCCCCAGCUCCCAGAAAUUCGUUCUGGAUUCAAGACACACGUAGCUUGGCUCUGCUCAUCUGCAUUCGAAAGGAGCGAAAACGUUGGGAAAUUCUCCUCCGACCCCACCGCCGCCCCCGGCUGCUGCUCCAGCUGAAGGAAGCACUUACAGAAAAGGAAUCCCCCCGCCCCCGACGUCCACUUGAACAAACAGAAGACCUCCCCACGCACUGA
RNAcentral lists this long non-coding RNA (986 nucleotides) under Oryctolagus cuniculus (rabbit). RNAcentral describes it as "lncRNA (ENSOCUG00000036364.1)". The record is from RNAcentral. Lineage: Eukaryota; Metazoa; Chordata; Mammalia; Lagomorpha; Leporidae.